RNAcentral lists this non-coding RNA (21 nucleotides) under Caenorhabditis elegans. The record is from RNAcentral. Lineage: Eukaryota; Metazoa; Nematoda; Chromadorea; Rhabditida; Rhabditidae.
UCUUUUCAUUUUUUUAUGGCA